AACAACUCAUUCUUUUUUUGAUUUCACCUUUAUUUAACCAGGUGGCCAGUUGAGAACAAGUUCUCAUUUACAACUGUGACCUGGCCAAGAUAAAGCAAAGCAGUGCGACACAAACAACACAGAGUUACACAUGGGAUAAACAAACGUACAGUCAAUAACACAAUAGAAAAGUCUAUAUACAGUGUGUGCAAAUGUAGUAAGAUUAGGGAGGUCAGGCAAUAAAUAGGCCAUAGUGGCACAAUAAUUACAAUUUAGCAAUUAAACACUUGAGUGAUAGAUGUGCAGAAGAUGAAUGUGCAAGUAGAGAUACUGGGGUGCAAAGGAGGAAAAGAAAAAAGAACAAUCUGGGAAAGAGGUAGUUGGGUGGGCUAUUUACAAAUGGGCUAUGUACAGCUUCAGUGAUUUUUGCAAUGUUACAUGACACAUGGCAUGCAAUAACAUGCCAUGUGUCAUGUAACAGUGUGGAUGCCAGGUGUAAUGUAACAUUGUGGACGCUAGGUGUAAUGUAACAGUGUGGACGCUAGGUGUAAUGUAACAGUGUGGACACUAGGUGUAAUGUAACAGUGUGGAUGCCAGGUGUAAUGUAACAGUGUGGAUGCCAGGUGUAAUGUAACAGUGUGGAUGCCAGGUGUAAUGUAACAUUGUGGACGCUAGGUGUAAUGUAACAGUGUGGACGCUAGGUGUAAUGUAACAGUGUGGACACUAGGUGUAAUGUAACAGUGUGGACGCUAGGUGUAAUGUAACAGUGUGGACACUAGGUGUAAUGUAACAGUGUGGACACUAGGUGUAAUGUAACAGUGUGGACGCUAGGUGUAAUGUAACAGUGUGGACACUAGGUGUAAUGUAACAGUGUGGAUGCCAGGUGUAAUGUAACAUUGUGGACGCUAGGUGUAAUGUAACAGUGUGGACACUAGGUGUAAUGUAACAGUGUGGACACUAGGUGUAAUGUAACAGUGUGGACGCUAGGUGUAAUGUAACAGUGUGGACACCAGGUGUAAUGUAACAGUGUGGACGCUAGGUGUAAUGUAACAGUGUGGACGCUAGGUGUAAUGUAACAGUGUGGACGCUAGGUGUAAUGUAACAGUGUGGACGCUAGGUGUAAUGUAACAGUGUGGACGCUAGGUGUAAUGUAACAGUGUGGACACCAGGUGUAUUGUAACAGUGUGGACGCUAGGUGUAAUGUAACAGUGUGGACGCUAGGUGUAAUGUAACAGUGUGGACGAUAGGUGUAAUGUAACAGUGUGGACGAUAGGUGUAAUGUAACAGUGUGGACGCUAGGUGUAAUGUAACAGUGUGGACACUAGGUGUAAUGUAACAGUGUGGACGCUAGGUGUAAUGUAACAGUGUGGACGCUAGGUGUAAUGUAACAGUGUGGACGCUAGGUGUAAUGUAACAGUGUGGACGCUAGGUGUAAUGUAACAGUGUGGACGCUAGGUGUAAUGUAACAGUGUGGACACCAGGUGUAUUGUAACAGUGUGGACGCUAGGUGUAAUGUAACAGUGUGGACGCUAGGUGUAAUGUAACAGUGUGGACGAUAGGUGUAAUGUAACAGUGUGGAUGCCAGGUGUAAUGUAACAGUGUGGAUGCCAGGUGUAAUGUAACAGUGUGGACACCAGGUGUAAUGUAACAGUGUGGACGCUAGGUGUAAUGUAACAGUGUGGACGCUAGGUGUAAUGUAACAGUGUGGACGCUAGGUGUAAUGUAACAGUGUGGACACCAGGUGUAUUGUAACAGUGUGGACGCUAGGUGUAAUGUAACAGUGUGGACGCUAGGUGUAAUGUAACAGUGUGGACGAUAGGUGUAAUGUAACAGUGUGGAUGCCAGGUGUAUUGUAACAGUGUGGACGCUAUGUGUAAUGUAACAGUGUGGAUGCCAGGUGUAUUGUAACAGUGUGGACGCUAGGUGUAAUGAAACAGUGUGGACGAUAGGUGUAAUGUAACAGUGUGGAUGCCAGGUGUAAUGUAACAGUGUGGAUGCCAGGUGUAAUGUAACAGUGUGGACGCUAGGUGUAAUGUAACAGUGUGGAUGCCAGGUGUAUUGUAACAGUGUGGAUGCCAGGUGUAAUGUAACAGUGUGGAUGCCAGGUGUAAUGUAACAGUGUGGAUGCCAGGUGUAUUGUAACAGUGUGGAUGCCAGGUGUAAUGUAACAGUGUGGAUGCCAGGUGUAAUGUAACAGUGUGGACGCUAGGUGUAAUGUAACAGUGUGGAUGCCAGGUGUAUUGUAACAGUGUGGAUGCCAGGUGUAAUGUAACAGUGUGGAUGCCAGGUGUAAUGUAACAGUGUGGACGCUAGGUGUAAUGUAACAGUGUGGACGCUAGGUGUAAUGUAACAGUGUGGACGCUAGGUGUAAUGUAACAGUGUGGAUGCCAGGUGUAAUGUAACAGUGUGGAUGCCAGGUGUAAUGUAACAGUGUGGAUGCCAGGUGUAAUGUAACAGUGUGGAUGCCAGGUGUAAUGUAACAGUGUGGACGCUAGGUGUAAUGUAACAGUGUGGAUGCCAGGUGUAUUGUAACAGUGUGGAUGCCAGGUGUAAUGUAACAGUGUGGAUGCCAGGUGUAAUGUAACAGUGUGGACGCUAGGUGUAAUGUAACAGUGUGGACGCUAGGUGUAAUGUAACAGUGUGGAUGCCAGGUGUAAUGUAACAGUGUGGAUGCCAGGUGUAAUGUAACAGUGUGGAUGCCAGGUGUAAUGUAACAGUGUGGAUGCCAGGUGUAAUGUAACAGUGUGGACGCUAGGUGUAAUGUAACAGUGUUGACGCUAGGUGUAAUGUAACAGUGUGGACGCUAGGUGUAAUGUAACAGUGUGGAUGCCAGGUGUAAUGUAACAGUGUGGAUGCCAGGUGUAAUGUAACAGUGUGGAUGCCAGGUGUAAUGUAACAGUGUGGAUGCCAGGUGUAAUGUAACAGUGUGGACGCUAGGUGUAAUGUAACAGUGUGGACGCCAGGUGUAAUGUAACAGUGUGGACGCUAGGUGUAAUGUAACAGUGUGGACGCCAGGUGUAUUGUAACAGCGUGGACGCUAGGUGUAAUGUAACAGUGUGGACACCAGGUGUAUUGUAACAGUGUGGAUGCCAGGUGUAAUGUAAAAGUGUGGAUGCCAGGUGUAAUGUAACAGUGUGGACGCUAGGUGUAAUGUAACAGUGUGGACGCCAGGUGUAAUGUAACAGUGUGGAUGCCAGGUGUAAUGUAACAGUGUGGAUGCCAGGUGUAAUGUAACAGUGUGGACGCUAGGUGUAAUGUAACAGUGUGGACGCUAGGUGUAAUGUAACAGUGUGGACGCUAGGUGUAAUGUAACAGUGUGGACACCAGGUGUAAUGUAACAGUGUGGACGCCAGGUGUAAUGCAACAGUGUGGACACCAGGUGUAAUGUAACAGUGUGGACACCAGGUGUAAUGUAACAUUGUGGACGCCAGGUGUAUUGUAACAGUGUGGAUGCCAGGUGUAAUGUAACAGUGUGGAUGCCAGGUGUAAUGUAACAGUGUGGACGCUAGGUGUAAUGUAACAGUGUGGACGCCAGGUGUAAUGUAACAGUGUGGAUGCCAGGUGUAAUGUAACAGUGUGGACGCUAGGUGUAAUGUAACAGUGUGGACGCUAGGUGUAAUGUAACAGUGUGGACACCAGGUGUAAUGUAACAUUGUGGACACCAGGUGUAAUGUAACAGUGUGGACACCAGGUGUAUUGUAACAGUGUGGACGCCAGGUGUAAUGCAACAGUGUGGACACCAGGUGUAAUGUAACAGUGUGGACACCAGGUGUAAUGUAACAGUGUGGACGCCAGGUGUAAUGUAACAGUGUGGACGCCAGGUGUAAUGUAACAGUGUGGACGCUAGGUGUAGCAAUUGUCUCCCAUAUGGAAAUAACUCUGAACCAUGCCAAUGUUCUGCCAACCAUGUCUUGUCAAUAUCUCCUAGUUGUCUUAUGUGGGAUUUUCUUCAUAACUUUAGGGGACCUCUAUCUAACCACAGAGUUACCACCCAGGGGUUCAUUGUUUGUUUUAUUCCUCUGCUAACAAGCAGGAUGUACACAAGGAAAGGAGAAUAACUUUCACCCUAAUUGAUGUCACUAAUAACAUCACACUCCAAAACAUGCAUGCUAACGAAAGCAAUGAAACGCUCCCUGGACAUGUCACGGUGUAAUACCUAAUCACUCAUCCUAAACACUCCGAAUUACCAUCAGGAAUGACCAUCUGAAACAUAACUGAUCAAUUCAUCCAUAAUCAUGUGAUAAUCCAUAAUCAUGUGAUAAUCCAUAAUCAUGUGAUAAUCCAUAAACGUGCACCAUAUGGAUGACCCCUUUAACCAGACAAUUAUGUUUGAAAAACAUCUGUUCAGGAAUGCCAGCUCAUCAAAAUAUGCAUGUUCAGAACAUCAUUCAUGACAUCAUCUGGAUGAUGACAUCUACAUAUAUCUUCAUUCUAAAGGACACAUAUCGAAACAAAUUUAUGAUUUCCUUCACACAAUCAUACACACAUUCUGUGUUUCACUUCUCAUCUGACAUAAUCUCUAUGCUCACUCUGAUCAGCACUGUGUAAUCUGUGUAAUCCAUCUCUGUUUAACUCACAUGCCUCCUCCUUCAUGCAGUACCCUGUGUGUGUCUGUAGGGGGUGCUGGCUCUGGUCCUGGUGGUGCUCUGCCUUAUGGGGGCCAGCCUGUGGUAACUGCUGGGCUGUGGCCUGAUGGUGGGAAGUUGGGCGGGUACGGCCCAGAUCCCUACGGGUUUGCAUAGCCUAUGGGGCUGGGGCAUGAUACUGGCCUGGGUAAAUACACUCUAAAGAGAGGGGAGGGUGAACAAAGGAAGAACAAGAGAAAAUAGAGGCAGAAAAAGGACUGAAAAAUAAAGAGGUAGAGAAAGGGUGAAAAGUAGAGAUGAAGAGAAGAGAAGGAUUAGACAAAGAAAAAAGCAAGUCAGUGAUGAACACUGAAGCAGCAACAGAGGGACUCAAAGGUCACUGUCAAAAACUCAAGGGUCACUGUCACAGGAAAGCCAAUAAUCAUUGUCAUUUUACACAUUUGCAUACAGUUGAUGCCAUAAUUGAGUCAUAUGUUUUCCAUGCAUUGAUGUGGUCUGUGGGGUGGGAGGAGAGAUGAUGAGACUCUAUAAGCGACCC
Long non-coding RNA from Oncorhynchus keta (chum salmon), 5103 nucleotides. RefSeq lists it as uncharacterized. The transcript is spliced from 3 exons. NCBI's taxonomy places the organism in Eukaryota, Metazoa, Chordata, Actinopteri, Salmoniformes, Salmonidae. The record is from RefSeq and is a predicted model, not a curated record.